RNAcentral lists this ribosomal RNA (511 nucleotides) under uncultured bacterium. Its description in RNAcentral is "bacterial SSU rRNA". It matches the Rfam family "Bacterial small subunit ribosomal RNA", at positions 8 to 509 of the family's 1533-position model. The record is from RNAcentral.
AGAGUUUGAUCCUGGCUCAGGAUGAACGCUAGCUACAGGCUUAACACAUGCAAGUCGAGGGGCAUCAUGAGAGGGACUUCGGUCCUUUCGAUGGCGACCGGCGAAUGGGUGAGUAACACGUAUCCAACCUGCCCCUGACCGGGGGAUAGCCCUCCGAAAGGGAGAAUUAACACCCCAUGGGUGUCCCGUGCGGCAUCGCGCGGCCAUGAAAGGUUACGGUCAGGGAUGGGGAUGCGUCCGAUUAGCUUGCUGGCGGGGUAACGGCCCACCAGGGCGUCGAUCGGUAGGGGUUCUGAGAGGAAGGUCCCCCACACUGGAACUGAGACACGGUCCAGACUCCUACGGGAGGCAGCAGUGAGGAAUAUUGGUCAAUGGGCGGAAGCCUGAACCAGCCAAGUAGCGUGAAGGAUGAUGGCCCUACGGGUUGUAAACUUCUUUUAUGCGGGAACAAAGUGCGCCACGCGUGGCGUUUUGCGCGUACCGCAGGAAAAGCACCGGCUAAUUCCGUGCC